UUAGUUAAUUUUAUUUCCAGAUAAAUGGUGCUGUUCCUGACAUAUCAAUGCUCAGUGACUGUCUUGGCAAUGUCAGGGUGGAUACAAACGGCGAAAACCAUUCAGAUUCCAAUCACAGAUCAGAAACUCGAUUGGAGGGCGCGAAGAGAUGUGUUGGUCAAGGACUACAACAACAAUCUAACGCAGGUGAUCUAAUAUUUGACAACGAACUAUUCCAGUCGAAAAAACGAUUUGAUGAUCUGAUAGCACGUCAAUCUGAGACAUAUGGCGAUUCUAGCCCCCCUAGUGUACACGUAUAUGAUAAUCGUAAUAUUGAAAGCAGGGACUUGAGACAGAAAUCGCCGGUUCAGAAUGAUUCAGAUUUCGAUAGAGAAUGCAUAGACUCGUAUCAAAAAUGGCGCGCCAAGAAUACCGAGCUUUUCGCUACUCCCGAAAGUGCACUGCAUAAUGUUCCCGAACAGAAAAUUAUUCAUAAAAUGAUUAUCAAUAACCAUGACGUUAGGAAAGAUUUCAAAUCAGUGACCGAUCACUUUGAAAGCCCUAAGAAAUCUACACUUGAUAAGUAUUACGAAUACUUCAAAAGAGACCAACCCUCUCAUUCUAAGCAUUAUGACACUGGGGUUUGUAGUGAGGGUAAAGAUGUUGCUGAAUAUGGUGAAAAAAGUGUCUCACAUAACCCAGUUCGUCAUCAAGUCAUCUCAAGCAGAGAAUCUUGCUUUUCUAAUGACCCCAAAUUUCGUAUUUCAGAGGAACUGGAGUAUACAAAAUAUCAUGACUAUCAUAAGAGCAAACCGGUUCCGUACAGGAAUCGAUAUGAGAGUGAGGACUUUAUUCUUGAGAAGGGUUACCAUCAUGGUGAAAGAUUGGGACAUGGCUAUGACGGUUCAUGUUGUGAUUCUCCUAGAUGUAAGCAACAGAGGUAUCGGCUAGAUGAAGACUAUGAAUCGCGUGUUCAUGAAGAUCCAUUGUCUAGGCGCAGAAGACAUCUUGAAGAGGAAGAGGAAUUGAGGCAAUGCAUUCGUAAUCGACCACAUGACGAUUUCCAUAGAUCGAAAAAAGAUGGUUGCUCUAAAAAUUCAGGAUCUGUAAAGAAAUCUAAGAAGUCGCCUGUGCUAAAAAGUAAAGGAGAAAACAGAAAUCCUUGUUCCUGUCCUGAAUGUGAUGAGCUGAAUGACUGUGAUAUUGAAGAGAGUCACUGUGAUUUAGUAAAAUAUAAGAAAGGUAAAAAUGCUAGUCAACGUUUUAGAAAGGGAGUCGAUGAAAGUGAUUCAUCAUUGGAUUGUUUCCCUAAGCGUUCUUGUAUAAACUCGCGUAAAAGAAAUUCAGUGUCUUUUGAAGAUUUAUGUCGAUUUGUGAAGCUGCAAAACGAACAGAUCAUGUUGAUUCAGAAGCAAGUCGAAAACAUCGGACAGAAAGUUGACGUGAUCGCCCAAAAAGUAGUCAAAUUAGAGCUUCAAAAUAAGUUACCAGUGUCCAAUAGAAGCGGUGAUAGAAGAAAAUCCGUUGAUAACAUGGAGAAAUGUGGCUGUAACUGCGAAAAGGAGAAGAAUAAAGCUCAGAGUUUCAAGCUGUCUGUGGUCAAAGAAAAUUCGCAAUUAGAGUGUCUGCAAGCAGUAGAGAACCAUAAUGGGGUCUCCAUUGGAGUCAUGACAAGCUGCGUUGAAAUUAUGCAAAAAGCUCAGAUUGAACAGAAAAAUGUGUGCCAAAAGAAGAAAACUCGUAGAGAGAAUCAUGAUGAUAAUUCUGAUAACGAGCAGCCGAAACAUCGUUCUAAGAAAAAUGAUAAGAAGAAAAAUAAGAAACACUUGAAGGAAUCAACAAGAAGCCCCACUACAGUGAACAGGAAACAACAAAAAGAGGUCUCGGCAAUGUCAGAUUCAUUCAAUUUGAACGAGGGAGAGUUGCAAGUAUUUCGGGAGCCAACUCCAUCUCCUGAGCCUUCCAUCCACAUCGAUAUUGAGGAUUUCAGUAGCUCCUCAUCUUCGUCAGGAGCCUCAUCAGAUGAAGAAAGUGAAGGAAAUGCAAACGGCAAUUCGUGGGAUACUAAUACUGACUCUGAUGAUGUCAAGAUGGGAUGGACCCUUUAUAAUAACAUUGUGGGGCAAGUGAAUAACAUCUUACAAAAUCCUCCACCUUCUAAUGAGAAUCCCCAGCAGCUGGCUGUUCCAAGCCCAGAGGAUGUCAGGAGGGCAACUCUAGAGCAACUGAGAUUGUUGGGUGUGAACUUGGGUGAAGUGGAUAACACGAUUUCAAAAAAGUAAAGUUACAUUCAACCAACAGCUUUAUCCGAGGGAAGAAAUUGCAAAAGAAGACAGUGAUCCCGUGAUGCACUUGAAUGCGCUUGCUAAAAUGUAUCUCCAGCAAAAGGAAUUUCAUAAAGGUACAAGUAGAAAGGAAUUGGCAGACAACUUGAGGCCAGGAAAUACCAAUUUAUCUCAUGCGACGUUGUGCUAUCUGGAGAAAUAUAAAAUCAAGCCUGGAUCAGCCAACAGAGAAAAUCGGUUCGAUGCUGAAGCCAAUGGACCAAUUGUGACAGACAUUCCUAAACCACAACCUCGUCGCUUGCAACAGCACCAUAAUAAUCAUCAUCAGCAGCAACAGCAGCAGCUGCAACACCACUAUCCCAUCUCCAGAAUUCUCGACAUAACCGAAUUAAAACAGCAGCCCAAACUAUUGUAAUAAUUUAACCAUCAAUGUAUGACAAUGUACAAAAUAGUACUACAAAUUAAUAAACUUUUCAUUGUUAAAACAACUUAUUUCAAUAAUAAAAUGAUGAAUUGUGUAAUUAUUAUUAACUAAUAAAACUAUUUGAAUAGGGCUA
RNAcentral lists this unclassified non-coding RNA (2821 nucleotides) under Nilaparvata lugens (brown planthopper). RNAcentral's name for it is "uncharacterized LOC111052774, transcript variant X1". The record is from RNAcentral. Lineage: Eukaryota; Metazoa; Arthropoda; Insecta; Hemiptera; Delphacidae.